Molecule: long non-coding RNA, 2340 nt
Organism: Puntigrus tetrazona (Sumatra barb)
Lineage: Eukaryota; Metazoa; Chordata; Actinopteri; Cypriniformes; Cyprinidae
Exons: 2
Source: RefSeq, a predicted model, not a curated record
UAUAUAUAUAUAUAUAUAUAUAUAUAUAUAUAUAUAUAUAUAUAUAUAUAUAUAUAUAUAUAUAUAUUUUUUUUAUUAAUUGUUUAAUUUGCCAGGAUAAAAAAAAUAAUUUUUACGUCUAUUUCCGACAAACAAAGUGCAAUAAAGUACAAUUUUAAUGCUUAAUUAAACAAAAUAUUUAAUUUAACACUUAACUCAAUACUUUAAUACUUAAAGUGCGAAAUGAAUACAAAAAAUUGCUUAAUUUAUAAAAACAGCACAUGCCCCACUUUUACAGGAGUAAAUAAAUUGUCACUUAUGAAUUGCAAAUCAUUUUCACAAACAGAGAUAUUUGCGAAGAAACAUUUAAUUGAACGUGAUAUUUUUCAGCUAGAAAGACUGAAAUAAUAUUUUCUUAAAAACUCAUAACUCCCCCCAAAAAUCAGUGCUUCGUUUUAUUAUUAAUAUUAUCAUUAAUUAUUAUUAUUAUUUUCUACGAGGCAAUGGCGAUGAUUUAGUUGUCACCGGUAGCACAUAUGUUUCCAUCGAAUUCUACCGGGUUAAUAUAUCAGCUACUCAUUUCUGAUUAGUAACAUUUCAUUUUAUCGUUUCAUGUCUUUAUUGUGCUUUAUCUAUACGGUAGCCAUUCUGACUAGACAUUGCGUCUAAUGAUCUAAUAUAUCUACAUACUGUCAGAAAUAUAUAUCUGUGCCUCAUGAAGAAGUACUAGUGUCUAACAAAGACGUACUAAACUGGAAUAAACGCCAGCCGUGAUUAGAGAUAUUAAUAUUGUGACCACAAAUGCGCAUACAAUUCAACGACAGAAGCGAUCUUCCAGAAAUAGUCAUGCAACUUGUAGCAGAAGUAAGCACUAGCAUCCGAUCAACGGUUCACUACUGAAUGACUUGCUCCGAAUAAACGAACAGCGUGCAAAAAUGUUAAAACGGCUUGCCACGAAGUCAGUAUUUCGUCAAUGACAAGUUAAUAGUUAUUCUAUUCGAAUGCACUCAUUGCAUUGCAUAGUCUACUUUGGAAACUUAGUCCAGUCUAGGGAGUCUUUACAGGAACGGGGAGGGAAGCUUAUGAUAAUGAAGAACGAGGUAGUAUUUUCUCACAUUAUGGACAAGCGUCUCUCAGAUAACAUAUCACUUGUUGGAAUAAGUGUCUUAAACGACUAAUUUUGUGUGCUUCUAUCGUGUAUCGUCGUCUCGUCAAGAGCCCGUAUCAACCAGUGAAAGAUGCAUAAGAUGCUACAUGUCAACUUUUUUUCCCCCCCCGCCGUUUGUGCUGCUGUAUUCGUGCAGGGUUCAAAGAUGUGAAAAAAUAGUUCCGAUUCAAGCACAAAUUCAGAGACUCGCUAACGUGCAGCGAUCACUGAAGACAAAAGGGAGGGGAAAGAUCAGAGACCGAAAGCGCUUUCGACUGGAUACUUCUAAUCACGUCGGAGUGAUGCAGUCUCCAUAGCGACGAUAGGUUCCUCGGUAACCCGCUAUUGUUGCCAUGGCAUCAUUUUUUUUUUUAAAUCCGCCAGAAUGUUUUGAAGUCUGGCUGAAGAUAAGCGGCAUUGCUGGAUUUUUAUUUAUUUUUUAAAAAACUGGUGAAAAUGGGUUUUCUCAUCUAACCAGAGGGCCAUAACAACGACGAGACAGCAGAAGAGUUGUUCUGGAGUAGCCUGUCUUCGGGAGAACCCGACUAUUAAGCCACACUCUGGGAUAAAGUGCAAUACAUGUGAAAAGUUUCGUCACUGAACAAAACACUGUCCAACAGGCACAGACUGAAGUGAAAAAAAACCACCCCGAAUGGGUGUGAUACACUGAUCGUUCACAAGAGGCUGCUGUAUCUUCGCCAAACGCUCGAAGCAGCCCGCCAUCUCUAUUCUCCCACAGGAUGGACGUCCCGCCUUGUCUUAACAAACAGCAAGAAGCGGAUGAAGCUUUAAAGGGGUUUAUCCUCCGGAGGCCAGGUAGCCUGUGUGGACCCCAGCUUGCCAAACGUAGGGGCUCGUGGACUGUUCCCUGCUCCUCCACGCUUCAGGAGGAGGUGCCUUCAAAAACACAUCGCCCUCGUCCAGCCUCCGGGCCCUGAUUCCCCCUCCGGGCUAGACGGCCCCAGCGCACCACUUGCCUUUUCUGUGUCAGUAUUCUGUCUCUUUACCAAAAGAAGAUGGACUCCUGUGUUGCUGUGCUGUUUCUGCUGCUAAAUGUAAGACUCUAAACUCCACAUAAGUGCUCCUACACGCUCCCACCGCCGUAGCCCAGCAGUGUGGAGGGCUGUGCUAGUUACGCUAGCUCCAUCGGUUGUCAUGUGUCAUCAGGCUGUGAUGUCGUCUUUGACGUUGCUGUAUAAACUGAUAGUCAUGAA